AUGGAUGCAGACAUACAAGUGAACAGAAACACAGAACCAAUACAGUGCAGAGACCUCUGGUUGACUGUGCUGUGGGACUCUGGACUCAACCGAACGCAUUUCCUCCUGAUUAACGUGAUGCCUGUCAGCUCGCUGAGACAUUCCCCUACGACCCCUCUAGACCGGACCCCCUCUUCUGCUACUCCUAAUAGACGUGAAACGCUCCAGUCAAUAAUUUUUUCUACUUGUCUUCAUCCCUCUCUCUCUCUGUGUCUCUCCUUCUCAGAUUGCUGCAUGUCAGGAGGAGGUUCACAUCAGAAAGUUCAGCCAAAUGUUAUCUAGCACAGGGAGGUUUCAAAUGGGAGGCCUAUUGCUCCCCCUCUUCUAACUUCUAGUUUCUGACUCCCUCUCUCACUCUCUCCCUUGUGUCUCUCGCCCAAUCUCCCUGCCCCCCCGCGGCUGCCUUUCAGACUCGCAGCCAAUAAGUGUCUGUGAUAACAUCAACAGCUGUCAAAGACCCAGGCAACUGCACUUGUCUCAUAAACCCAAACACCUGUACUCUCUCAUUCUUUUGAUUGUUAUCCCUCAUACACACGCACACACACUGCUCUGCUCUCUAUCACUCACGUUGGUUUGAUUUGCCUGUCAGAAAGAAGGGGAUGUGCCAAGAUCUGUGGAGCCGUGUGAAGGGGUGUGUGUGGGUGUAUUCCAGGACGGGAGGGGGGAAAUUUAUAAACUGAGCGAGAGAGAUGAGAAGGAGAAAAAAGAGAGGGAGAAAGGCAGAGAGUGUCUCUUCAAAAGUUUGGCACAGUUUGAAAGGCAGAACUGGGGGCUUAUGGGGAGGAUGUCACAACAAACUAUAUACUAAGUCACCCCUUUUUUCACUUCUCUACCUCAUUCUCUUGUUUAAUUUAAAUGAGAAAGUGUGUUUCAACAUAUGUUUGUAUUUAAAUGCCAGUCUCAUCAGCACCUUUUGCCUCAUGUGCACCCACCACCUGUCAGCCUCCAGAUGCGUGUCUUUUCCUGGCCUACAACGCUCUUCCUUGGGCACCCUGGCUACAUAAUCCACCUCUCCCUAAAGGCAUUGGCUCCCGUCACGGCUGCUGUCAUGCUGGGCUGCUAUAUCCAUCAUUUAGUCAAUGAGAAGUAAUGACAGUGUAGAGCAAAACAACAGCAGUCUGUCUGCGUGUUUCUGUUUGAAGGGAAACACACCAGGUUGCUAUGAGACGCGGCCCCAUUGGAGCAGGAGCGAGGCCGCAGACGAAGAGGCAUUUUGGGAUUUGAGACUGAUUUGGUGUUUAUGAUCAGGUGCUGACUGGAAACGAACAGGCUGCUUCUCUGGUGUUUUUGAUGUUGUAAAUGUUCUCUGGGAUAUGACUAUUCAUGAGCUUGGGAGAAAAGGGGCAGGGUUUUUGGAGAGAGGGGCUGUUGUGGAGACAGGAAGUUCUCAAUCAAAGCCGAGAGGAAGCAUGUUGUCUGUGAGUGUGUGAGCGAGAAAGCAGAGAGAAGGAGUGAGCGAGAGUAAUGAGAAAGUGUUUGUCGAGGGUGAGCUGUUCAUUAUUCUGAUUUAUGUGUCAGACACAUUAAUGGUGGAAUGGCACGCAGUCGUUCUCCUCCUCCGCCAUCGCAAGCUACUGAUGGCCAGAGAGACAGAGAGCUGCUACUCACACUCAGUCUUCCUCUGGUUGAGUGUGCGAUUAUCUGUGAUCAUGCAGGAUUCAGCAUGUGUUAAGGUUUAACCCAUGACUAAUCGCAUUGCCUGUGCUGUAUCACGGCUGUGUUCUGAGAACACUGACCCUCCAGCCUUAGACUCCAUAAAGACCACACAGCAUAGUCUACUCGUUCUAAUAGAAUUCCUGCAGCUCAUGUGCUAGCAACAGUCAUGAGUUCGAUUCCUAUAGGAACUAGGGAAUGCUUGAGCUGAUCAGAGUCUGUGGAUAAAAGCAUCUGCCUAAAACAUUACAGACAUUUACAAUGUUACAUUUACGAUGUUACAAAAAAUGCUGUUCCUUUAAAAUUUCUAAUUGAUUACAGAAUCCUAAAAAAAAUCAUGACAGUUUUCUUUCAUGAAUUUGAUUAUGCUAUUAAAAUUUGACAUGAUAUUAAAAUAUAAUUUUAAGAAUUCUGAAACAAACCUAAAAAUUUGAAAAUUGUCCAGCAUGUAUGAAAGCCAUCGUUCAUGCUAGUUAACUGCAUGUUAUGGUGCUUCGGUUCCCCAGAACACAUCUCAUCUAGCCGAUCAUGGAUGUUUUAUGACAACUGGCUGCCACAUCUUGCUGGCACUGGAGAAAAUGUGAGAAAAUGAAAUUCCAUGACUGAAGUGUCACAAUAAAACAUCUAGUGGAAUAAGCAAUUUAUAUCUUAACACAUAGUUCACAUUGUUUAAGGCACAACGUAUGUAUGUCAGCAGUGACAUAAAAUAUGGUUUUAAUACACCAUUACAGACAAAGGAGGGGGCAGAAGAGGAAAUAUUCCUGCUACUUUUUUCUGUUCAUACUCAAUAGGUUUUGCUAUUUUUAUUACCAAAAAAAGAUGAAAUGAGUCUUGUUUAAGAUACUCUUUUCUUUUUUUUCUCCUUUUUUUCUCCUAGCCAUGCCAAGAACAAACAAAUGGCAGCGAAAUGUAUGACACAUAAACACAAACCCAAACUUGGAAGUAUUUGACCUUUUCCUUCUCCCUGAUCCUAGCUUCAACAUGAAAGAGCAAAAACAAGCUCUUCCGCCCAUGAAGGUUGGGCUCGAGAUUGACAGUUGUUGUCUGACAGAAGCUUGUUCAUUUUAACCUCUUAAAAUGAGAGACUGAAAGCUAUGUCUUUGUGUUUUAUGUGCAAUAAACAGGAAAUUUUGGAUGUGUUUCCUCUUUAGCAUAAAGUCAUUACUGCCAACACUGAAGAACACAUAAGGACGGAAUGGUAAUUAAAUAUGCAAAGACAAUUGUUUUAAUUUAAUUCAUGCUCAAUAGGAGCAAGUUAGCCAAAGGUCCAGGCCUGUGUCUCCCUGGGGAUUUGUAAGAACCCAUCAUGGGCACCCAGCAUGGCUAUGCUCUUCUCCGCUGUGUGUCUUUGUGCCUAUGGAACAAAGUGAAAUGCCUGACAUGUUUUUUUCUUCUUCUCCGGUUCACUUGUUCUACUCCCUUUGUUAAAUCUCAAGUUCAGGGAACAGAGGCCUAAGGGUAGAGAUAGAGGCAGUGCACUGUAAACAUUUGGUAAUUAGGAGCCCGGAAUAUCUGCUAUCAUUGCACUUUUUAUUCCGCAAAUAGUUAGGUAAAAGGGGGUGUUGUCUCUCUCUCAGGUUUUUUUUUUUCUUUUUUUUUCUUUUCUCACAACUUUUCUCACAUCAGCCACUCUGUUGUAACAUUUGCAAUACGUAAGGUUGAUCAUCCUGUGACUGAGGCCCUUGGCAUUGUUAAUGUUCAUUAAAAGCAGUUUGCUGUAGUUAUGCCCUGCUGACUAGGAUGAAGUGCACCACAGCACCACCUCAGGGCUAAUUAGACAGCACCACCCCAUUCUUAAAGGGAAAAAUUACCUAAAAAU
Long non-coding RNA from Cyprinus carpio carpio, 3511 nucleotides. The record is from Ensembl. Lineage: Eukaryota; Metazoa; Chordata; Actinopteri; Cypriniformes; Cyprinidae.